Long non-coding RNA from Eptesicus fuscus (big brown bat), 220 nucleotides. RefSeq lists it as uncharacterized. The record is from RefSeq and is a predicted model, not a curated record. The transcript is spliced from 3 exons. Lineage: Eukaryota; Metazoa; Chordata; Mammalia; Chiroptera; Vespertilionidae.
AAGCAUUCCGCCAGGCCGCUCAUGCUGCCUGCUCUCAGUGGCAGCCCCCCCAGGACUGGGGGACUCCGUAUCAGUGAAGUAAAAAUAAAGUGUUACUGUGCCACCUUGUGGAUGUACGAAGAAUGAACUGAUGUAGGGGUUUUGUGCUCCCUUGUCCGACCGACCUUGCUUCCUAUGAAAACCUUCCAUCUGUACAAUCCAAUCAGCUAGACUAAUUUGU